AUUGAACGCUGGCGGCAGGCCUAACACAUGCAAGUCGAGCGGAUGAAGGGAGCUUGCUCCUGGAUUCAGCGGCGGACGGGCGAGUAAUGCCUAGGAAUCUGCCUGGCAGCGGGGGAUAACGUCCGGAAACGGGCGCUAAUACCGCAUACGUCCUGAGGGAGAAAGUGUGGGAUCUUCGGACCUCACGCUAUCAGACGAGCCUAGGUCGGAUUAGCUAGUUGGUGGGGUAAAGGCCUACCAAGGCGACGAUCCGUAACUGGUCUGAGAGGAUGAUCAGUCACACUGGAACUGAGACACGGUCCAGACUCCUACGGGAGGCAGCAGUGGGGAAUAUUGGACAAUGGGCGAAAGCCUGAUCCAGCCAUGCCGCGUGUGUGAAGAAGGUCUUCGGAUUGUAAAGCACUUUAAGUUGGGAGGAAGGGCAGUAAGUUAAUACCUUGCUGUUUUGACGUUACCAACAGAAUAAGCACCGGCUAACUUCGUG
This 484-nucleotide ribosomal RNA is filed under the name uncultured bacterium. RNAcentral describes it as "partial 16S ribosomal RNA". It matches the Rfam family "Bacterial small subunit ribosomal RNA", at positions 30 to 507 of the family's 1533-position model. The record is from RNAcentral.